GUGAUCAUACCAGUACUAAUACACUGGAUCCCAUCAAAACUUCGAAGUUAAGUGUGCUUGGGUGAGAGCAGUACUACGAUGGGUGACCCGUUGAGAAGUCCUUGUAUUGCACCU
This 114-nucleotide ribosomal RNA is filed under the name Zingiber officinale. The record is from RNAcentral. Lineage: Eukaryota; Viridiplantae; Streptophyta; Magnoliopsida; Zingiberales; Zingiberaceae.